AUGAAGGCCCUCUGGGUUGUAAACUUCUUUUAUUUGGGAAGAAACCUAUCCUUUCUAGGGUAGUUGACGGUACCAGAUGAAUAAGCACCGGCUAACUCCGUGC
Molecule: ribosomal RNA, 103 nt
Filed under: uncultured bacterium
Lineage: Bacteria
Description: partial 16S ribosomal RNA
Rfam family: Bacterial small subunit ribosomal RNA
Source: RNAcentral